GUUCCGUUCAGGCCUGUGCGAGAAAGACUCCCAGGCCCCUGGGUUCUCCAUAGCCCACACUUCCACUCGGCUCCGCUUCUCUUGCCCAGCUGUCUCUCCUCCAAGGAGCGGACAGGGCGGACACGAGACCCGGGUGCCCUUUUGUCCUCUAUUCCAGCUCUGGGCGGAUCCUCCUCCCAUGAUGUGGAUGAUGCUGAGGAGAAAGUGGAAGACGGGUCUGAAGAAGCAAGGACUGGCAAGUCUGAUCCCCCACUCUGAUUCUCAUUGCUGAAUGUCUGGGUCUUCCUUGUGUACCUGCUGGGGUGGGAGACUGCUCGCAGCAUACCUGGCCUAUGACAUGCCUAGCUCUCUGGGGUGGAUCUUGGACAGGAAGACUGCUUCUGCCAGAGUAAAGAAUAUGACGGAGCUCCUCAUCCGAUGGAGCCUCUGGGAAGAGGCGAAGAGCCAGCUGGAAGCCUGGUGGGCCUCCGCUGCCAGCAGGACAGAUGCAUCAAGUCAGGUUUAUGGGAGAAGUCUUCCCAGACCACUAUGUCCAAACUUCUGUCCAUCCUGCUAUAACCUCUCCAGUUAGAUGGAUGAAAACCAGACCAGUCAGCCAUGGACCAGAGCUGCAAAGAUAAGAACCCAAAGAAGAAACAAAUGGUGUAGCAUUAAGUAUUUCUUUCCACUUGAGCAGAAAAAUCGGAGACUAAGGGAACUGGAGGAGUGUGGCCUUUGAAUGAGACUUGAGGUGGUGAGACAGCAAGUGAACGUGGGGAUACUUGCUCAGAGCUUUGCUAGAAUACCUCAUGGUUUACUGGACCUAGGACCUUCUUGAUAUAGAAAUGACCAUAAAAAGAAAGCAGACAGAUUCCCAUGAAGAAAAAGUGACCUCUCCUCUGAAUUCCAUGCUUGGAAAAGUACUUAUUUAAAGGAAGGAAAAAAGUCUCCAAAGCAAAACCUGGCUUGUUUAGAUAACUUGGUCUAGGAACAUGGCGGAAGCUGAACCCAAGAACAUGCCUGCACAGUGCAACUUCUGGGUGGGAGUCAGUUGUCUUUUCUGAGUUCCCUGGACCUGAGAGUGUGACACUGAGACCAGGGGUGUGGAGAAAUCUAUCUCAUAUUUAUGACAUGUGGUGGGAUCUUUACUGAGCAUUUCAACCCAUCCUGUAGUAAAGAGUGCUGAAUCAUGGUGGGUCACCCUUCUAGACUAGAGACAGCCUGGGUGGGUUCACUGGAACCAGCCAAAAUGGCCACAGGACCAGCUUGAGUCUCCACUACAAAGGGCAGGUGAGGGGAGCAGGAGGUAGAACGUUCACAGGACAGGACGAUCAGGAGCAGAGAGUUGCUCUAAGAUAUGAGCACCAGAUGGGGAAAUUUAACAGAGUGGACUGUAGAGUCACUUGGAAGGAAAAAUGGAAGAGGAUUUUAUAUUACAGCUGCUGUCAAUGGUUCUAACCUUGUAGAAAUCUAUAGGUAAAAAUAUUGUGAAAUUACAUAUGCCCUUUGUUUUCACUUAGUUUUUAAUUUCGCUUACUCUAAUUACUAGCUUUUCAAUAUAGGUUUAAAAAGCAGUUAUCAGAUUUUUAUUAAUUAAGAUAGAAGAAAUCUUUUCUCAUAGACUAUUUAGUUUUUUAUUUUGAAAUUAUGUUAAACUUAUAGAAAAAUUUACAAAAAUAGUACAGAGAGUUCCUGUAUAUCCUUCAACUAGCUUUCCCUAGUGUUACUGUCAUACUUAACAAUAAUACAUUGAUCAUAAAUAAGAAAUGAACAUUGGUACGACACUAUGGGCCUAACUACAGACGUUAUUCCACUAGUAUCCUUUUUCUGGCUCAGGAUCCAAUUCAGGAUCUCAAAUUGCCUUUAGUUAUCACGACUCCCUAGUCUCUUCCAAUCUGUAAUUGUCCCAAAUUUUUCUUGACAACUUCAACAUAUGUUUUUAAAACUUUUUAUUUUGAGAUAACUUUAAAUUCACAUGCAGUUGCAGGAAAUAAUACAGAGAGAUCCCUAUAUUCCUCACCUAGUUUCCCCCAUUGGUAACAUCUCAAUAACUAUGGCAUAAUAUCACAACUUGGAAAUUCACAUUGAUGAGGUACAUGGAUCUUCUUCAGAUUUCACCAGUUUCACAUGGACCUGUGUGUAUCAGUGUGUGUGUGUGUGUGUGUGUGUGUCUGUUUGUAUCAGUUCUGUGCAGUUUUAUCACAUGUGUAGAUUCAUAUGGCCACUACCAGAGAACAGUUCUAUCACAAGGACCCCCAGUGCUACCCUUCUAUAGCUAUUUCCGUUUAUCCCCAGCUCCCAAUCCCUGGCAGCCAUUAAUUUGUUCUCUAUCUCUAUAGUUUUGUCAUUUCAAGAAUAUCAUAUAAAUAGAGUUAUACAGUAUGUAAUCUCUUGAGAUUGGCUUUUUUUCACUCAGCCUAAUUUUCUUGAGAUCCAUCCAUGUUGUUGCAUUGGUCAAUAAUUCAUUCAUGUUUCUUGCUAAGUCGUACUCCAUGGUUUGAUGGACCAGUUUGUUUAGGCAUUCAAUUGUCGAAGGACAUUUGCACAACCUCAGUUCUUUUGAAGUCAGUUUUUGUAGAAUGUCUUUUGAUUUGAGUUGGUCUGAUGUUUUCACAUAUUUAGAUCAUGGCAAUGCAUUAUCAUCAUGAAUACCACAAAAGGGCUGUGCCCUUCUGAGUUCAUCCUAUCAAGGAGUACAUGAAGUCAAUAUGUCUCAUUACUGGUGAUAUUAACUUUAAUAGAUUGGUUAAUUGGUGUCUGCCAGGUUUUUUUCUGCUGUGAAAUUACUGUUUUUCCUUAGUAAAUAAUAAAUAUUUUGGAGG
RNAcentral lists this long non-coding RNA (2801 nucleotides) under Homo sapiens (human). Its description in RNAcentral is "non-protein coding NGF-AS1:9". Lineage: Eukaryota; Metazoa; Chordata; Mammalia; Primates; Hominidae. The record is from RNAcentral.